RNAcentral lists this ribosomal RNA (465 nucleotides) under Vreelandella stevensii. RNAcentral describes it as "partial 16S ribosomal RNA". It matches the Rfam family "Bacterial small subunit ribosomal RNA", at positions 338 to 795 of the family's 1533-position model. Lineage: Bacteria; Pseudomonadati; Pseudomonadota; Gammaproteobacteria; Oceanospirillales; Halomonadaceae. The record is from RNAcentral.
CCUACGGGUGGCUGCAGUGGGGAAUAUUGGACAAUGGGGGGAACCCUGAUCCAGCCAUGUCGCGUGUGUGAAGAAGGCCCUCGGGUUGUAAAGCACUUUCAGUGAGGAAGAACGCCUGGUGGUUAAUACCCAUCAGGAAAGACAUCACUCACAGAAGAAGCACCGGCUAACUCCGUGCCAGCAGCCGCGGUAAUACGGAGGGUGCGAGCGUUAAUCGGAAUUACUGGGCGUAAAGCGCGCGUAGGUGGCUUGAUAAGCCGGUUGUGAAAGCCCCGGGCUCAACCUGGGAACGGCAUCCGGAACUGUUAAGCUAGAGUGCAGGAGAGGAAGGUAGAAUUCCCGGUGUAGCGGUGAAAUGCGUAGAGAUCGGGAGGAAUACCAGUGGCGAAGGCGGCCUUCUGGACUGACACUGACACUGAGGUGCGAAAGCGUGGGUAGCAAACAGGAUUAGAUACCCUAGUAGUC